GUAGGUGAACCUGCGGAAGGAUCAUUAACACGUAUCCACGUAUCAACCCCUCUGUGAAAACGCAAAAGCAGCAAGGUCUGGUCUUAGUGCGUCUGUCCGCUAUGGGUCCUAAUAAUGGGUGACUCCUCUCGGGGUUGUCACAGGGCUCGGACGGCGUGUGUUUGACGAUCAACCGACACUUUACCAUUGUUGGCCUUUACCCAUUUUUAACCCCUUUGUACUCUUUUGUACUGAACCAUUCUUCGAUGCU
RNAcentral lists this unclassified non-coding RNA (250 nucleotides) under plant metagenome. RNAcentral describes it as "partial contains small subunit ribosomal RNA, internal transcribed spacer 1, and 5.8S ribosomal RNA". The record is from RNAcentral.